UUAUAUUAUUGGGGUUCUUUGAUAUGCCAAAUCUAACCGUGUAUUUAGAUUUUUAAUUUUGGGUCCUGUUUUUUAAAUUGGUUUACAUUAAGGUCCAAAGGGUCCAAAAUUAAACUUAGUUUGAUUUUAACAAAAAUUGAAUUCUUGGGGUUCUUUGAUAUGCUGAAUCUAAACAUGUGUUUCGAUUUUUGAUUAUGGGCCCAGUUUUCAAGUUGGUCCAAGUUGGGGUCCAAAAUUAAACUUUUUUUGAUUUCAACAAAAAUUGAUUAUAUGGGGUUCUUUGAUAUGCUGAAUCUAACCAUGCACUUAGAUUUUUUAUUUGUGGGCCCCGCUAUUAAAUUGGUUCAUAUUGAGGUCAAAAGGGUCCAAAAUUAAACUUUGUUUGAAUUCAUAAAAAAUUGAAAUAUUGGGGUUCUUUGAUAUUCCAAAUCUAACCGUGUAUUUAGAUUUUUAAUUUUGGGUCCCGUUUUUUAAAUUGGUCUACAUUAAGGUCCAAAGGGUCCAAAAUUAAACUUAGUUUGAUUUUAACAAAAAUUGAAUUCUUGGGGUUCUUUGAUAUGCUGAAUCUAAACAUGUGUUUCGAUUUUUGAUUAUGGGCCCAGUUUUCAAGUUGGUCCAAGUUGGGGUCCAAAAUUAAACUUUUUUUGAUUUCAACAAAAAUUGAUUAUAUGGGGUUCUUUGAUAUGCUGAAUCUAACCAUGCACUUAGAUUUUUUAUUUGUGGGCCCCGCUAUUAAAUUGGUUCAUAUUGAGGUCAAAAGGGUCCAAAAUUAAACUUUGUUUGAAUUCAUAAAAAAUUGAAAUAUUGGGGUUCUUUGAUAUUCCAAAUCUAACCGUGUAUUUAGAUUUUUAAUUUUGGGUCCCGUUUUUUAAAUUGGUCUACAUUAAGGUCCAAAGGGUCCAAAAUUAAACUUAGUUUGAUUUUAACAAAAAUUGAAUUCUUGGGGUUCUUUGACAUGCUGAAUCUAAACGUGUUUAGAUUUUUGAUUAUGGGCACAGUUUUCAAGUUGGUCCAAGUUGGGGUCCAAAAUUAAACUUUGUUUUAUUUCAACAAAAAUUGAAUAUAUGGGGUUCUUUGAUAUGCUGAAUCUAACCAUGUAUUUAGAUUUUUUAUUUGUGGGCCCCGCUAUUAAAUUGGUUCAUAUUGAGGUCAAAAGGGUCCAAAAUUAAACUUUGUUUGAUUUCAUAAAAAAUUGAAUUAUUGGGGUUCUUUGAUAUUCCAAAUCUAACCGUGUAUUUAGAUUUUUAAUUUUGGGUCCCGUUUUUUAAAUUGGUCUACAUUAAGGUCCAAAGGGUCCAAAAUUAAACUUAGUUUGAUUUUAACAAAAAUUGAAUUCUUGGGGUUCUUUGAU
Long non-coding RNA from Mytilus californianus (California mussel), 1351 nucleotides. RefSeq lists it as uncharacterized. The record is from RefSeq and is a predicted model, not a curated record. NCBI's taxonomy places the organism in Eukaryota, Metazoa, Mollusca, Bivalvia, Mytilida, Mytilidae. The transcript has 3 exons.